Molecule: ribosomal RNA, 495 nt
Filed under: uncultured bacterium
Lineage: Bacteria
Description: partial 16S ribosomal RNA
Rfam family: Bacterial small subunit ribosomal RNA
Source: RNAcentral
GAUGAACGCUGGCGGCGUGCCUAAUACAUGCAAGUCGAGCGAACGGACGAGAAGCUUGCUUCUCUGAUGUUAGCGGCGGACGGGUGAGUAACACGUGGAUAACCUACCUAUAAGACUGGGAUAACUUCGGGAAACCGGAGCUAAUACCGGAUAAUAUUUUGAACCGCAUGGUUCAAAAGUGAAAGACGGUCUUGCUGUCACUUAUAGAUGGAUCCGCGCUGCAUUAGCUAGUUGGUAAGGUAACGGCUUACCAAGGCAACGAUGCAUAGCCGACCUGAGAGGGUGAUCGGCCACUGGAACUGAGACACGGUCCAGACUCCUACGGGAGGCAGCAGUAGGGAAUCUUCCGCAAUGGGCGAAAGCCUGACGGAGCAACGCCGCGUGAGUGAUGAAGGUCUUCGGAUCGUAAAACUCUGUUAUUAGGGAAGAACAUAUGUGUAAGUAACUGUGCACAUCUUGACGGUACCUAAUCAGAAAGCCACGGCUAACUACGUG